RNAcentral lists this small RNA (136 nucleotides) under Actinoplanes utahensis. RNAcentral's name for it is "c-di-AMP sequence". It matches the Rfam family "c-di-AMP riboswitch aptamer (ydaO/yuaA leader)". From Rfam's summary of the family: This family represents a conserved RNA structure found upstream of the ydaO and yuaA genes in Bacillus subtilis and related genes in other bacteria. The ydaO/yuaA element is thought to act as a genetic "off" switch for the ydaO and yuaA genes in its native state. It is believed that the element may be triggered during osmotic shock leading to activation of ydaO, a predicted amino acid transporter gene, and members of the yuaA-yubG operon which code for KtrA and KtrB K+ transporters. Lineage: Bacteria; Bacillati; Actinomycetota; Actinomycetes; Micromonosporales; Micromonosporaceae. The record is from Rfam by way of RNAcentral.
GGCGAACCACCGCCUAAUCGCUGACGCGAGCCGGGGACCCGAGCAACUGGGGUGAAGUCGUCCUCUCCGGAGGCGGCCGGGCAGACUUCCCGCCCGAACCCGUCAGCUAACCCGGUCGGCGGCUGAGUGGGAAGAA